CCUUGGAUAGAGACCGAUCCACACAAGGGUCACAGAUUCGACAUAAUUAUGCCUAAAAUGUAGGAAUGAUGAGAAAGGAAGAAUAGGAAAAGUAGUCUUGCUACUUUAUACUUAAAAAUGUGCUGUAGGAAAGCUUGAGCAAUUUGAGUGUAAUAUGUUGAAAUGGCAUAGUCAACCUCCGUCAGCUAUUAGUGCAGUGGUAGGUAUUUUUCAGCAUGUGAACCCAUUUCUGUCUCUGAAAAUAUAUGCGACCCAAAUAACUUUUGUGCAUUUGCUUCCACGGCUUCCAUUGCUAUGAUUCAUUAGACAGUCAGUUCGUAUACAGGACGUUUAUAAGACCUAAAAUGCUUUAUCAGGUGGGAACCACUGUUUAAGUGCAAUCCUGUGUGAGAAGAUCUGUUUCCAGUUGAUAGUGCCUGCCUCUUUAUUUCAAUUUAGAUGUUGGGCUGCUCCGGAUAAUCAUUCCCCUGAUUGGUUUGGGCAAUCCAUGUUGCCUGUCAAUCAAGUGUGUCAAUCCCUGCGAUUAAACGGCAGGGUUGUAGCCUACGGUGUCAUUUUCUCAGUGGCGAAAUGUUGUUCUCCUUCACUCUCUCUCUCUCUUUACAAUUUAUAUCUUACCUACAGCACUCUUAAAUUUACAUUGAGAGAGGCAGUUGUAUGAACGAGAUUACGUAUUAGAAAAAUGGUUAAUCCAAUGGAAUUACGUAUAUAAUUAAGUAUAAUAUUUAAAGUGACUUCCCCCAAACAUGCAAGAUAAAUAAAAAAAGCCUACCUUAAAAACGGACUGCUUCUCUCCGCACAUUUUACAGCUCCAUUUCUUUGCCUUUAUCACCUGUGACAAGUGAGUCUCAGAUUAACGAGUCUCAGCAAAAGCACGCUUGUCGCAAUUUAAGAGAUCUUCAGUACAGUUAACGUUAGAGAUUGAACGCUUCAGAUUUAUUGAAAGUGUUGCUCAUGCUCAUACAUGACAAACGUGGAUUUUUGGCAGACCGAUACAAAUAGGGUGACCCAAGCUGUCCGUAGAGAUGCAAUAUAAAAAUGUGUCGUCAUUAAAUACAUAUAUAUCUUUUGAGGGCACUCCAUAGUCCUCCACCUAGGACUAGGGACACCAGCUAUCCAACAAUUACUAACGAUAAUGCAAAUAAUGCAGUUGAUGGCUUAAAAGACUGCUGUCAAGUUACCUGCUGUACUUGGUAGGUUUGGCAAGAAUAGCAUCUCAAGACAUGGAAUUGUUGUGCCAUUGUUAAGUUUAUAUGAGAUAGUUAGUUAACCCACUACAGCUGAGAUCUUGGGUUUUUCCCCGGUAAAGUUUGAAGCAUGGAUGAAGUAAA
Molecule: long non-coding RNA, 1331 nt
Organism: Gadus macrocephalus (Pacific cod)
Lineage: Eukaryota; Metazoa; Chordata; Actinopteri; Gadiformes; Gadidae
Exons: 2
Source: RefSeq, a predicted model, not a curated record